Loxodonta africana (African savanna elephant) is the source of this 55-nucleotide small nuclear RNA. Its record names the gene U7. It matches the Rfam family "U7 small nuclear RNA". Rfam says of the family: Animal histone pre-mRNAs are spliced by a different mechanism than nuclear pre-mRNAs and self-splicing introns. This processing involves the U7 snRNP, which contains only one RNA species: U7. The 5' end of U7 RNA is thought to base-pair to a conserved spacer element downstream of the cleavage site in histone pre-mRNA. The record is from Ensembl. NCBI's taxonomy places the organism in Eukaryota, Metazoa, Chordata, Mammalia, Proboscidea, Elephantidae.
UAGUGUUAUAGCUCUUUCAGAAUUUGUCUAGGAGGUCUGCAGGAAGAUCACCCCC